This 204-nucleotide long non-coding RNA is filed under the name Mytilus galloprovincialis (Mediterranean mussel). The record is from RNAcentral. Lineage: Eukaryota; Metazoa; Mollusca; Bivalvia; Mytilida; Mytilidae.
AGGGGUUCUUGAUAUUUGAUAUGGUCUUGUAUCUAAAGUUCUCUCUUUUAAACAAUUGCCAUCUUCUGUGUACUGAAAAAGUUUUCUGGAAUAAAAGCAACAAAGCAAUAACUUAUUUGUUCGAAUAACUUCUAUUCCUGUAAUAGAAGUAAUGCCGUGGUUCUUCAAAUCAAUCGGCUUGAUACAUUUUAGCGAUAACGAAAC